RNAcentral lists this ribosomal RNA (253 nucleotides) under uncultured bacterium. Its description in RNAcentral is "partial 16S ribosomal RNA". It matches the Rfam family "Bacterial small subunit ribosomal RNA", at positions 524 to 776 of the family's 1533-position model. The record is from RNAcentral.
UACAGAGGGUGCAAGCGUUAAUCGGAAUUACUGGGCGUAAAGCGUGCGCAGGCGGUUUUGUAAGACUGUCGUGAAAUCCCCGGGCUUAACCUGGGAAUGGCGAUGGUGACUGCAAGGCUAGAGUUUGGCAGAGGGGGGUAGAAUUCCACGUGUAGCAGUGAAAUGCGUAGAUAUGUGGAGGAACACCGAUGGCGAAGGCAGCCCCCUGGGUCAAAACUGACGCUCAUGCACGAAAGCGUGGGGAGCAAACAGG